RNAcentral lists this ribosomal RNA (481 nucleotides) under uncultured bacterium. RNAcentral's name for it is "partial 16S ribosomal RNA". It matches the Rfam family "Bacterial small subunit ribosomal RNA", at positions 28 to 507 of the family's 1533-position model. The record is from RNAcentral.
GACGAACGCUGGCGGCGUGCUUAACACAUGCAAGUAGAACGCUGAGGCUCAGCUUGCUGGGUGGAUGAGUGGCGAACGGGUGAGUAACACGUGAGUAACCUGCCCUCUUCUUUGGGAUAACGCGCGGAAACGGGUGCUAAUACUGGAUAUUCACUGAUUCUCUCUUGGGGGUUGGUGGAAGGUUUAUUCUGGUGGGGGAUGGCCUCGCGGCCUAUCAGCUCGUUGGUGGGGUGAUGGCCUACCAAGGCUUUGACGGGUAGCCGGCCUGAGAGGGUGACCGGUGACAUUGGGACUGAGAUACGGCCCAGACUCCUACGGAGGGCAGCAGUGGGGAAUAUUGCACAAUGGGCGAAAGCCUGAUGCAGCGACGGCGCGUGAGGGAUGGAGGCCUUCGGGUUGUAAACCUCUUUCGCUCAUGGUCAAGCCGCAGAUUUGGGUUGUGGUGAGGGUAGUGUGUAAAGAAGCGCCGGCUAACUACGUG